UACGUAGGUGGCAAGCGUUGUCCGGAUUUAUUGGGCGUAAAGGGAGCGCAGGCGGUGAUUUAAGUCUGAUGUGAAAGCCCACGGCUCAACCGUGGAAUGGCAUUGGAAACUGGGUCACUUGAGUGCAGAAGAGGAAAGCGGAAUUCCAUGUGUAGCGGUGAAAUGCGUAGAUAUUGAGAAGAACACCAGUAGCGAAGGCGGCUUUCUGGACUGUAACUGACACUGAGGCACGAAAGCGUGGGUAGCAAACAGG
This 253-nucleotide ribosomal RNA is filed under the name uncultured bacterium. RNAcentral's name for it is "partial 16S ribosomal RNA". It matches the Rfam family "Bacterial small subunit ribosomal RNA", at positions 524 to 776 of the family's 1533-position model. The record is from RNAcentral.